CUACGGGUCGCAGCAGUGGGGAAUAUUGGACAAUGGGGGAAACCCUGAUCCAGCAAUGCCGCGUGUGUGAAGAAGGCCUGCGGGUUGUAAAGCACUUUCGGUUGGGAGGGCUGCUUCUAGCACUAAUAUUGUUGGAAGUUGACGUUACCUCCAGAAGAAGCACCGGCUAACUCCGUGCCAGCAGCCGUGGUAAUACGGAGGGUGCAAGCGUUAAUCGGAAUUACUGGGCGUAAAGCGCGCGUAGGCGGCUAGAUCAGUCGGGUGUGAAAGCCCCGGGCUUAACCUGGGAACUGCAUCCGAUACUGUCUAGCUUGAGUACAGGAGAGGAGAGUGGAAUUCCACGUGUAGCGGUGAAAUGCGUAGAUAUGUGGAGGAACACCAAUGGCGAAGGCAGCUCUCUGGCCUGAUACUGACGCUGAGGUGCGAAAGCGUGGGGAGCAAACAGGAUUAGAUACCCGCGUAGUC
RNAcentral lists this ribosomal RNA (465 nucleotides) under uncultured bacterium. RNAcentral's name for it is "partial 16S ribosomal RNA". It matches the Rfam family "Bacterial small subunit ribosomal RNA", at positions 339 to 795 of the family's 1533-position model. The record is from RNAcentral.